Molecule: non-coding RNA, 1637 nt
Organism: Chlorocebus sabaeus (green monkey)
Lineage: Eukaryota; Metazoa; Chordata; Mammalia; Primates; Cercopithecidae
Source: RefSeq, a predicted model, not a curated record
CGUCCCGUGCGCGCCGAGUCCGCGCAAGCGCCCUUGGGAGUUGUAGUUUGCCUUCCAGAAUCCGUUUUCUUCUUUCCCUGUCCCUCCUAGAAUCCAUGGUUUUAUUGCGGAAGUCUGUAGUUUCGCUGCUCACCACGAGACUGAUCAGCUUUGGAAGUGUUGCACUCUUUUCCUCUUUCAGUUCGUGGGAUGGCCUAGAAUGACGGGGUUGAGGGUUGUGAGGGAAGCUGUACUAAUAAAAUUUAAAGACCCUUUCCCUGUAUCAAUGGACUGCCCCAUCGAGCUAGAUGUUGAUUGGUAGAUAGAAAGGGGCGAGCCAAGAAUCUCUCAUCUGAUUGGUUGUAGCGGAAAACCUUUCGCUUUUUCUUUCCUUCAGCAAGAAUUUCGCCGCUUGCCGGGUUCCUCACUUGUAGUGUGUUUCGUUGGUUUUCGUUCUGUUGCUUUCGAACUUUGGGUUCUCUGCGAUGGAGUCGGAAGGGAGGAGUUGUCUCCGUUAGAGGAGCACCCACAGACGCUCCAAGUCCUGAGGUUCACCGAAAGUGGGGAAGGCAGUCGCUUACACUCACCUAAGAGCAAGAAGUGACCACUUCUCAAUACUAAGGAGGUGAUGUGAUAUUAGAAUGUGUCAGUCUGUAAAUUGAUCUGCAUGAAAUGAUAUUCAAGCAAGAAGCCACUACAUAUUCUCUACUUUAAUCUUGGAAAAAAAAAAUCACUGACUGAAUCUCUCACCUCCUGAAGCCCAACGGAUGACUACUGUGCUGGAGAACUAAUUUGCCUACUGAAUGAGAAAAAUUGGUCACCAGAGAACCAGAAAACUCAAAAGAACCUUCUGAGGUCAUCAGAACAUCGAUUGGCCAGAGCAGUGCAGCCUCCCUCCCAUCACUUCCCUCUCUCUGAACGUGAUCUCUGUGAACUGGGAUUUUGGAAGUGGAUUUGCAGGAUUGAUUACUGGGGAGAAUUUUCCCCAAGGAACAGGAAGAAACAGUCUCUUAUGUAACUGCUCAGAAAGGAGGCUUGAAGAAGAUACUAGUUCCUUGGAGUCUGUCCUCUACAGAUGAGAACCACUACCUGAAUUGUUGAGAAGAUAAAUAAUGCAGCAUUUUAACAGGCUCUGAGACCCUUGAAAGAUGGCUUUUGUAAGUACUGGGUAUGAUAUUAUCAUUGUCAUUAUUACCUUAUCACUUUAUCUUUGCAGAAAAUGAUGCUUGGAAAAGCUUGCUGGUCAUUUUGAUAUCAAUUUCUGGCCAACUUCUUCUUCCCUAAUUUCUUUCCAUGCUGAUGGACAUUAAGCCAAUUUAACUAUCCACUCAAUCUCCCUAGUGUAUCAUGUACAUCCUGACCUUUGAUUCUCUGCUCCCAUCAUGUCCCCUGCAUGCUCUUCCUCUUCCUCUUCCUCUUUCUAAAUCUAGCCCUUUUCUCAAGCACUUGGAGAAGCUGUGGAGGCAAGGACUGAGUCUCCGAAUGCAUCCUAUUCAAGCCCAAUCAGGUUAGCAACUGCUAGACUUUGCAUCAGGUCAUUUUAAAGGUCAUCAAACUGAAAUAUAACUUGUACACUCUUCAACUUGAUUUUGAUAGAGAAUUAUUUCCUCUGUCUUGCUUCUCUGUGCAACAGUCAGAAUUGAAACUGUAUAUAACAU